CCUCCAGAUGUUUUGGGACUACAACUCCCACCAUCCCUAGCUAAUGGGACCAGUGGUCAGGGAUGAUGGGAGUUGUAGUCUCAAAACAUCUGGAGG
This 96-nucleotide microRNA precursor is filed under the name Podarcis lilfordi (Lilford's wall lizard). Lineage: Eukaryota; Metazoa; Chordata; Lepidosauria; Squamata; Lacertidae. The record is from RNAcentral.